RNAcentral lists this ribosomal RNA (67 nucleotides) under Eoetvoesiella caeni. Lineage: Bacteria; Pseudomonadati; Pseudomonadota; Betaproteobacteria; Burkholderiales; Alcaligenaceae. The record is from RNAcentral.
GGACCGUGAAACGCCUUUGCGCCGAUGAUAGUUGAUUAACGUCUGUGAAAGUAGGUCAUCGUCAGGC